UGGGGAAUUUUGGACAAUGGGCGAAAGCCUGAUCCAGCAAUGCCGCGUGUGUGAAGAAGGCCUUCGGGUUGUAAAGCACUUUUGUCCGGAAAGAAAUCCUCUGGGUUAAUACCUCGGGGGGAUGACGGUACCGGAAGAAUAAGCACCGGCUAACUACGUGCCAGCAGCCGCGGUAAUACGUAGGGUGCAAGCGUUAAUCGGAAUUACUGGGCGUAAAGCGUGCGCAGGCGGUUUUGUAAGACGGAUGUGAAAUCCCCGGGCUUAACCUGGGAACUGCAUUCGUGACUGCAAGGCUAGAGUAUGGCAGAGGGGGGUAGAAUUCCACGUGUAGCAGUGAAAUGCGUAGAGAUGUGGAGGAAUACCGAUGGCGAAGGCAGCCCCCUGGGCCAAUACUGACGCUCAUGCACGAAAGCGUGGGGAGCAAACAGGAUUAGAUACCCUGGUAGUCCACGCCCUAAACGAUGUCAACUAGUUGUUGGGGAUUCAUUUCCUUAGUAACGUAGCUAACGCGUGAAGUUGACCGCCUGGGGGAGUACGGUCGCAAGAUUAAAA
RNAcentral lists this ribosomal RNA (552 nucleotides) under uncultured bacterium. Its description in RNAcentral is "partial 16S ribosomal RNA". It matches the Rfam family "Bacterial small subunit ribosomal RNA", at positions 355 to 899 of the family's 1533-position model. The record is from RNAcentral.